UAGAUGGGGUUCGCCAGCCCCAUCAACAUAAAGGUUUGGUCCCAGCCUUUCUA
This 53-nucleotide microRNA precursor is filed under the name Tursiops truncatus (common bottlenose dolphin). RNAcentral describes it as "miRNA (ENSTTRG00000025261.1)". The record is from RNAcentral. Lineage: Eukaryota; Metazoa; Chordata; Mammalia; Artiodactyla; Delphinidae.